AUUGAACGCUGGCGGCAGGCCUAACACAUGCAAGUCGAACGGUAACAGGAAGAAGCUUGCUUCUUUGCUGACGAGUGGCGGACGGGUGAGUAAUGUCUGGGAAACUGCCUGAUGGAGGGGGAUAACUACUGGAAACGGUAGCUAAUACCGCAUAACGUCGCAAGACCAAAGAGGGGGACCUUCGGGCCUCUUGCCAUCGGAUGUGCCCAGAUGGGAUUAGCUAGUAGGUGGGGUAACGGCUCACCUAGGCGACGAUCCCUAGCUGGUCUGAGAGGAUGACCAGCCACACUGGAACUGAGACACGGUCCAGACUCCUACGGGAGGAAGCAGUGGGGAAUAUUGCACAAUGGGCGCAAGCCUGAUGCAGCCAUGCCGCGUGUAUGAAGAAGGCCUUCGGGUUGUAAAGUACUUUCAGCGGGGAGGAAGGGAGUAAAGUUAAUACCUGUGCUCAUUGACGUUACCCGCAGAAGAAGCACCGGCUAACUCCGUG
This 490-nucleotide ribosomal RNA is filed under the name uncultured bacterium. Its description in RNAcentral is "partial 16S ribosomal RNA". It matches the Rfam family "Bacterial small subunit ribosomal RNA", at positions 30 to 507 of the family's 1533-position model. The record is from RNAcentral.